GCCGUUACAACUCCGAGUUGAUUAAACACCGGAUUUUGUUCCACCAACGUCUGUUUGUGUUUCUGGUUAGAGCUUCUAUUGAACAAUUUAUCCAGGCUGUUAUAAAAUAAAGUGGAAUAAAAAGAGAAAACAAAUUCAUUGUAGAGCUGCCAUUAGAGAGUAAUCGUUUGGACUUAUUGGACGGAUCUAUAUUGGAAUACCAUGAUGUGACACCUUGACUGUAGAGUUUCCAUUAGAGGGUAAUCGUUUGGACUAAUUAGACUGCUAUCUUUAUUGGAAUACAAAGAUGUGACACAUGACUCGUUGCUGCAAAUCAGAUAACUUUGCGGUAACAACUCGGAGUUUAUUAAACGCUGGAUGUCUUUCCAAUCACGUCUGUUUUUGUUUCUCGGUAGAGUCUCCACUGGGGGAUAAUACAAUUCGUGAUUAAUAGUGGAAAACCGUGAAUGGUAGAGUUUCCACUGGAGGGUUAUACAAAUCGUGGUUAAUAGUGGAAUACUGUGAACUGUAGAGUUUUCACUGGAGGGUAAUACAAAUCGUGAUUAAUAGUGGAAUACCGUGAAUUGUAGAGCUUGUAUUGGACGGUAAUACUGACUGUGAUCUAUACUGGAAUACCAAGAUGUGACACCUUAUUUGUAGAGCUUCUACUGGAGGGUAAUCCAGGCUGCAAUCUAUAGUGGAAUACCAAGAUGUGACAUCUUAUUUAAUUACCUUGGGCUGAAGAUGGGUUAGAUAUCCUUUUCCACAAAAUGAACAAAACUAUAUUAGAAGGAUGUCUACAACCAAACGGAAAAAGCGUAAGUC
Long non-coding RNA from Mya arenaria, 804 nucleotides. RefSeq lists it as uncharacterized. The record is from RefSeq and is a predicted model, not a curated record. The transcript has 10 exons. Lineage: Eukaryota; Metazoa; Mollusca; Bivalvia; Myida; Myidae.